This 585-nucleotide long non-coding RNA is filed under the name Panax ginseng (ginseng). Its description in RNAcentral is "long non-coding RNA (PGIN_LNC016277)". The record is from RNAcentral. Lineage: Eukaryota; Viridiplantae; Streptophyta; Magnoliopsida; Apiales; Araliaceae.
UUCAACUAGCAGGCUCCAAAUGAAGUCCAAAAAUCCUAGGGCUUCUAAUAUAAAACCAACCGGAAAACCUCGCCUUCUCCUUAAAUGUAUGCCUGCUCCUCCUUCUCCUUCUCCUCUAUCUUUUGUGUGUCUUCCGGCAGCCUAAAUCGAUUUUCUGAACGGCUCCUUUUUUUUUACCGAUCUUAGCCAAGUCCGAGGGUUUGACGGUUGCACUCUUCUUCGAUUCGCUUAGUAGGGGGAGUUUGGGUGUUUUAGUAUGUUGUUUUGAUCUUGUUUGGGGGCCUUGUCUGAAGGUUGACUCAGGUGUGGUUGGUCCCUAAAGUGAUUAUCUGUUUGAUGUUGGGUCUUUCUGGCUUUUGGAUGAUAGCCUUUUCGGAUUUGAUGUCCUUAUGUGCUUGUUCGAAUCUGGGUACCUAUUGCUUUUUUAUUCAUGCUUAGAUUUGAAAUUUUUUCUGUGAUUGUACUGAUUUAAUUGAUGUUCAUUAUGUUUUCUUAUGUUUAAUUUAAUUUGGUUUGUUCAUGGGUGUUUGUUUCUGUCGAAUCUGAUUUUCCGGUGAGUUUAUCUUUUCGGAGGAUCUAUGUUAU